UGAACGCUGGCGGCGUGCCUACUACAUGCAAGUCGAACGCUGGAGAUCUAGCUUGCUAGAUCGAAGGAGUGGCGAACGGGUGAGUAAUACAUAAGCAACCUACCCACGAAGACUGGGAUAAUCUCUGGAAACGGGGACUAAUACCGGAUAGGUAAUCGGAAGGCAUCUUCUGGUUAUUAAAGGUUAAAAACACUGGUGGAUGGGCUUAUGGCGCAUUAGUUAGUUGGUGAGGUAACGGCCCACCAAGACGAUGAUGCGUAGCCGGCCUGAGAGGGUGAACGGCCACAUUGGGACUGAGACACGGCCCAGACUCCUACGGGAGGCAGCAGUAGGGAAUUUUCGGCAAUGGGGGCAACCCUGACCGAGCAACGCCGCGUGAGUGAAGACGGCCUUCGGGUUGUAAAGCUCUGUUGUAAGGGAAGAACGGUAGAUAGAGAAUAUCUAAGUGACGGUACCUUACCAGAAAGCCACGGCUAACUACGUG
This 484-nucleotide ribosomal RNA is filed under the name uncultured bacterium. RNAcentral describes it as "partial 16S ribosomal RNA". It matches the Rfam family "Bacterial small subunit ribosomal RNA", at positions 30 to 507 of the family's 1533-position model. The record is from RNAcentral.